Transfer RNA from Ovis aries (sheep), 72 nucleotides. It matches the Rfam family "tRNA". Rfam says of the family: Transfer RNA (tRNA) molecules are approximately 80 nucleotides in length. NCBI's taxonomy places the organism in Eukaryota, Metazoa, Chordata, Mammalia, Artiodactyla, Bovidae. The record is from Rfam.
UCCCUGGUGGCUCAGACGGUAAAGCGUCUGCCUGCAAUGCAGGAGACCUCGGUUUGAUCCCUGGGUCGGGAA